RNAcentral lists this long non-coding RNA (352 nucleotides) under Ananas comosus (pineapple). RNAcentral's name for it is "long non-coding RNA (ACOM_LNC013236)". Lineage: Eukaryota; Viridiplantae; Streptophyta; Magnoliopsida; Poales; Bromeliaceae. The record is from RNAcentral.
GGAUUUUCAAAAACCCGAACCCGAACCCGACUCCAAACCUGAGACCCGAACCCGAACCCAAACCCUCCGGAUUUUAAAAAUCCAUAUCCAAACCCGAACCCGACCAAAAAUUCGAAACCCGAUUCCAAAAAUUUGAACCCAAAAUAAUUAUUUCAUGUUUCAAUAUUUCAAAAUAUAUUAUAUUAAAUCUAAAUUUUUAAAAUAUAACAUCAAAUUUAUAUAUAUAUAUANAAAAUUUCGGAUAUCCAUACCCAUUGACAUCCCUACUGGUAAGAUCCAUUAAGUAUUAGGCUGUCCAAGAGGUUUAAUAAGUUUUAAAUCACCAAAAAAAAAAAAAAACUCAAUAAAUUCU